RNAcentral lists this ribosomal RNA (694 nucleotides) under uncultured fungus. RNAcentral describes it as "eukaryotic LSU rRNA". The stretch from base 271 to 424 matches the Rfam family "5.8S ribosomal RNA". The record is from RNAcentral. Lineage: Eukaryota; Fungi.
AGUAAAAGUCGUAACAAGGUUUCCGUAGGUGAACCUGCGGAAGGAUCAUUAUCGAGUUUUGAACGGGUUGUAGCUGGCCUCUCACGAGGCAUGUGCACGCCUGGCUCAUCCACUCUUAACCUCUGUGCACUUUAUGUAAGAGAAAAAAAUGGUGGAAGCUUCCAGGAUCUCGCGAGAGGUCUUCGGUUGAACAAGCCGUUUUUCUUUCUUAUGUUUUACUACAAACGCUUCAGUUAUAGAAUGUCAACUGUGUAUAACACAUUUAUAUACAACUUUCAGCAACGGAUCUCUUGGCUCUCGCAUCGAUGAAGAACGCAGCGAAAUGCGAUAAGUAAUGUGAAUUGCAGAAUUCAGUGAAUCAUCGAAUCUUUGAACGCACCUUGCACUCCUUGGUAUUCCGAGGAGUAUGCCUGUUUGAGUCUCAUGGUAUUCUCAACCCCUAAAUUUUUGUAAUGAAGGUUUAGCGGGCUUGGACUUGGAGGUUGUGUCGGCCCUCGCUGGUCGACUCCUCUGAAAUGCAUUAGCGUGAAUCUUACGGAUCGCCUUCAGUGUGAUAAUUAUCUGCGCUGUGGUGUUGAAGUAUUUAUGGUGUUCAUGCUUCGAACCGUCUCCUUGCCGAGACAAUCAUUUGACAAUCUGAGCUCAAAUCAGGUAGGACUACCCGCUGAACUUAAGCAUAUCAAUAAGCGGAGGA